RNAcentral lists this ribosomal RNA (1490 nucleotides) under metagenome. RNAcentral describes it as "bacterial SSU rRNA". It matches the Rfam family "Bacterial small subunit ribosomal RNA". The record is from RNAcentral.
AGAGUUUGAUCCUGGCUCAGAAUGAACGUUGGCGGUGUGGAUUAGGCAUGCAAGUCGUGCGAGAACUUUUCUUAGCUUGCUUUGAGAAGGGACAGCGGCGAAAGGGAGAGUAACGCGUGGUUACGUGCCCUCGAGACCGGGAUAGUGUCGGGAAACUGGCAGUAAUACCGGAUAACAUCUUCGGAUCAAAUGGUGUGAUUCCGCUCGAGGAUCGGACUGCGUACUAUUAGCUUGUUGGUGGGGUAACGGCCUACCAAGGCUGCGAUGGUUACCGGGUGUGAGAGCAUGGCCCGGCUCACUGGGACUGAGACACUGCCCAGGCAUCUACGGAUGGCUGCAGUCGAGAAUCUUCGGCAAUGGACGAAAGUCUGACCGAGCGACGCCGCGUGCGGGAUGAAGGCCCUCGGGUUGUAAACCGCUGUCAGUUAGGAGGAAAUGCAUGGUGGUUAUCCAUCAUGUUUGACCGAUUUUCAGAGGAAGGACGGGCUAAGUUCGUGCCAGCAGCCGCGGUAACACGAACCGUCCAAACGUUAUUCGGUAUCACUGGGCUUAAAGCGUGCGUAGGCGGCUUGGAAGGUGAGAUGUGAAAGCCCACGGCUCAACCGUGGAAUAGCGUCUCAAACCCUCAAGCUUGAGGAAGACAGGGGUGAUGGGAACUUAUGGUGGAGCGGUGAAAUGCGUUGAUAUCAUAGGGAACACCGGUGGCGAAGGCGCAUCACUGGGUCUUUUCUGACGCUGAGGCACGAAAGCUAGGGUAGCGAACGGGAUUAGAUACCCCGGUAGUCCUAGCUGUAAACGAUGAGCACUGGGUUGAGGGGACUUCCACAUCCUCUCGGCCGUAGCGAAAGCGUUAAGUGCUCCGCCCGGGGAGUACGAUCGCAAGGUUGAAACUCAAAGGAAUUGACGGGGGCCCGCACAAGCGGUGGAGCAUGUGGUUUAAUUCGAUGCAACGCGAAGAACCUUACCUGGGCUUGACAUGCAGGGGACAGGUGUAGAAAUACAUCCUUCUUCGGACUCCUGUACAGGUGCUGCAUGGCUGUCGUCAGCUCGUGUCGUGAAAUGUUGGGUUAAGUCCCGCAACGAGCGCAACCCUUGUCUUUAGUUGCCAUCAGGUGAUGCUGGGGACUCUAGAGAGACUGCCGGUGACAAACUGGAGGAAGGUGGGGACGACGUCAAGUCAUCAUGGCCCUUACGCCCAGGGCUACACACGUGCUACAAUGGUCGGUACAAAGGGCUGCAAUACAGCAAUGUGGAGCGAAUCCCAAAAAGCCGGCCUCAGUUCGGAUCGUAGUCUGCAACUCGACUACGUGAAGUUGGAAUCGCUAGUAAUCGCGGAUCAGAACGACGCGGUGAAUACGUUCCCGGGCCUUGUACACACCGCCCGUCAAGUCAACCGAGUUGGUUGCACCCCAAGUCGCUGAGCUAACCCCUUCGGGGGAGGCAAGUGCCCAAGGUGUGAUUGAUAAGGGGGACUAAGUCGUAACAAGGUA